RNAcentral lists this long non-coding RNA (692 nucleotides) under Brassica napus (rape). Its description in RNAcentral is "long non-coding RNA (BNAP_LNC015826)". Lineage: Eukaryota; Viridiplantae; Streptophyta; Magnoliopsida; Brassicales; Brassicaceae. The record is from RNAcentral.
CCGGAAUAGACACGGAUUUAAAGACAUUAGUGUAGGAGUUUUCCAUUUUUGGUAAGUUUUAGGUCUGGAAAUGAAGAACAACUCAAGAACAGGAUGAACUUUACCAAAAAAUAGAAAGGAAAAAUCAGAGAUUUGCGGAAGUAAAGAGAAUAGAGUAGAGAAGAAUGAAUCUCAGGAGCUUACUUGCUCUGAUACCAUGAAAGAAUGUGAGGAUAAAGAGAUUUAUAUGAAGAACAUUGAAGAACACAGAGAGAGAGAGAAAGUAGAUCUGAGAAAAACUAUAUUCCCUUAAUUUAAAUUGUGGAUCUAGAUACAAGUCUUUUAAAGUCAAGUUGACUCAGUACACAAUACAAAAAAAUUUAUAUUGUUUAAAAUAUCUCCAACGGUCCUUCUCUCUUCUUCUUCCUCUUUGCGUCUUCUGAUUCUAAACUCAAGUCUGGUGAUCCUUAUAAAGCCUUAUAAAACCUUAUAAAAUCUUAUAAGUAUUUUCAAAUCUGGCAGCUUAAUUCUCAAGUCUAGCAGCUUAAUUAUGUUUCAUGUCAACACGCGAUUCCAGCUCCUAGGGGAGGCGAAGUUCAGAUGGGUGGUUUUCAUAUUGCUAUAUCCAUGAGACCAUGACCGAGUCUGGUGGUUUUGAAACUAGGAGUAGGGUUCCAAGAGAGUAUGCAAGAGGACGAAGAAAAUGUGAGUGU